UACGUAGGGUCCGAGCGUUGUCCGGAAUUACUGGGCGUAAAGAGCUCGUAGGUGGUUUGUCGCGUUGUUCGUGAAAACUCACAGCUCAACUGUGGGCGUGCGGGCGAUACGGGCAGACUAGAGUACUGCAGGGGAGACUGGAAUUCCUGGUGUAGCGGUGGAAUGCGCAGAUAUCAGGAGGAACACCGGUGGCGAAGGCGGUUCUCUGGGAAUAUCCUGACGCUGAGGAGCGAAAGUGUGGGGAGCGAACAGG
Molecule: ribosomal RNA, 253 nt
Filed under: uncultured bacterium
Lineage: Bacteria
Description: partial 16S ribosomal RNA
Rfam family: Bacterial small subunit ribosomal RNA
Source: RNAcentral